Long non-coding RNA from Saccostrea cuccullata (small rock oyster), 3093 nucleotides. RefSeq lists it as uncharacterized. Lineage: Eukaryota; Metazoa; Mollusca; Bivalvia; Ostreida; Ostreidae. The record is from RefSeq and is a predicted model, not a curated record. The transcript has 5 exons.
UAUUGUUAUGAGUUUUAUCUAGUUGUUAUAAGUUUAGUUAUUUUUUAUAGUUAUGAGUUUUAGUUAUUUGCUUUAGUUGAGAUUUUUAGUUAUUUGUUAUGAUAGUUAUGAAUUUAUGUUAAUUAUUAUUGUUCUGAGUUUUAUUUGUUAUUGCAUUUAUUCCAAGGAAUAUGUCUAAUGUUCAUUGUUGUGUUGUGCAUUAGUAUCAACAUUAGACAUGUUGGAUAAUGAGGAAACAGUGUGUUUCACCCAAAAACAUCCAUCUUAUUGAGGGCCUUAAUACAGUAAAACUUGGUUUUAAAGAAGUCGCUGGAACCUAGCUAUGAUAUAAAUAUUUCGCUAUAUGCAUUAUUUGUUAUAUUCUUGAAAUGAUUUCACAAAAUUUUUAUAGCUAGGGAUUCAUGAUAAUUUCACUAUAUCUGUGAAUUCACAAUAUCUGUGUUUGUACCAAACAAGUUUUACUGAAUCUAUUAUUUUAGCUCUAUUUUAAAAUUUUGUUAGUAUUUUAUAGUUGGACACUGUUCACUAAAGAUGAAGAGAAAUAAGCCAAAUUCUAAACCAUCAUCGAUAAGCAGAUGCACCCUACUCUCCUUGGUGGAAACAGAAGAUGCACUCCACUGGCCUUGAUGGAAACAGCAGAUGUAUCCUACUGACCAUGUUGGAGACAGCAAAUGGACCCAACAAGACAUGAUGGAAACAGUAGAUGCACUCCUCGGACUUGAUGGAUACAGAAGAUGGACCCAACAGGUGGAUACAACUGGAGGAGACUUGCCUGAUGAUGUUGACCUUCCAAACAAGACAUAUCAAAGGAGAUAAUUGACACUGAUCAGCUCCACUGGUCAGAGACGAAAAAGUUUGCAAUUGUAAACAAGCUAGGGCAUGACAUGGUUGAAACAGCUGGAGGAGGCAGGGCCAAUGGAUGCUAAUCUUCCAAGAUGUUGAAACAGCAGAUGACUUCAACAAGACCUGUGUAACAGCAGCUGCACCCAACUGGACACUGAUAGAAACAACUGGAUGAUGCAUAGCCAGUAUUUGCUGAUCUUCCAAGAUGUGGAAACAGCAAAUGCACCCAACAGUACAUGGUGAAAACAGCAGAUGAACCUAAAAGGACCUGAUAGAAACAACUGGAGGAUGAAUAGCCAAAUGAUGCUGAUAUGAAAUUUAUCAGCUGCAUGCAGCCAACAGAACCUUGUGGAAACUGCUGGAGUGUAGACAAGCUUGAUGAACCUCUUUUAAGAUGGGAAAACAGCAAAUACUUCUAAAAGGACUUAAUGAAAUAAAUCUCGAGGAGGCAAGGCCAUUAUGAAUCUUGAGGCAAACUUGAUGGACAAUGAUUUUCCAAUAUGUAUAAACACCUGGGCUACACCAAAAUGGAAUUGGCAGAAAGAAGGGAAAACAUCAAAAACUUCCAAAAAGACUUAGUGAAAUAAAUCUUGAGCAGACAAGGCCAUUAUGAAUCUUGAGGCAAACUUGAUGGACAGUGAUUUUCCAAUAUGUGAAAACACCUGGGCUACACCAAAAAGGAAUUGGCGGAAAGAAGGGAAAACAUCAAAUACUUCCAAAAAGACUUAGUGAAAUAAAUCUUGAGCAGACAAGGCCAUUAUGAAUCUUGAGGCAAACUUGAUGGACAAUGAUUUUCCAAUAUGUGAAAACACCUGGGCUACACCAAAAAGGAAUUGGCGGAAAGAAGGGAAAACAUCAAAUACUUCCAAAACGACUUAGUGAAAUAAAUCUUGAGCAGACAAGGCCAUUAUGAAUCUUGAGGCAGACUUGAUGGACAGUGAUUUUCCAAUAUGUGAAAACACCAGCUACACCCAAAAGGAAUUGGUGGAAACAAUAAACACAGACAAGCUUGAUGGACAAUGAUCUUCAAAAUGUAGAUGUUCCCAACAAGACUUGGUGGAAACACCUGGAGGACAAUUUAUUUCUGAUGGAUGUAGACUUUUCCACCCAGACAUACCAUAGUGGAUAACUGAUACUGAUCAGAAAAUCAAAGAAACUUUUAGAAGGAACAUCCUUGAGAUCAUUUGUGUGGAUGAAGAAGCAGGACUUAAUUAAUGCAGGAUUAAUCCACAUCUUCAAAGCACUGAUGUAAAUCCAUUUUAUUAACAAUGUUUUUUUCAAAGACUUUUUUAAAAAUAUAAAUUUUUGUAAAGGGUGUCCGAAUAUGUCAGGGUAUGGGGUCGCCCAUUCGGACACGUGGGUUCUCUACGGGUACUCCGUCUUCCUCCCACACUGACCCCCUGCUUUUCUUUUUCUUCUUCAUUAGCUAAUUAUAUUCAUAUUGUUAAGAUGAAGUAGUUGAAGGCUAGUUGUAAGUAGGUUUUUACGAUACCCUGGGGCAUUACUGGCUGGAACUUAAGUUCCUUCGCCGCCACGGUUGCCAGGCUGGCCCGGGGAGGAGAAGCUGAAAGGGACUAGUUGGAGGCUGCUUUGUCUUUAAUUAUCUUUUUAUUUUUAUGCCAAUGAGAUAACAGUUUGUUAUUGUAAUUGUUUUGAUGAAGUUAAAUAUGUUCCAGAUGUAAUGAUUGUUAAAUAUGACAUAAGUAUUCAUAGAAUGUGUAAAUUCUGUCAGCUGUUGUAGAAAGAAUAAUUUGUAAAGUCACCUUUUCUUUAUUAUAGUUUAUUGUGAAAUUGAAUCCCUCAAUAAGUCAAUAUUCUGCUGUGACUAGAUAUUCAGAAAGAAAUAUAUAUAAUAUUGUAUUUGAAAGUGUAAUAUAGUGAUUUGUCUCUAAAUGUUAAAUUGUGAUAUAUUUUAAUGCAGUUGUGAAUUGUUGAUGUGUCAAAUUGUGAAUUUUAGUAUGGAAUUUUGAAUUGUAAAUGUAAAAUUAUUUUAAUCUCAUUGGCAAGUUUUGUGCUGAAAAAAAAAGAAAAAAGAAUGAAAGAAAAAAAAACAAGCAAAAAAAAAAAAAGAAAGAAAAAAGAAAAAAAACAAGCAAAAAAAAAAAAAAAAAAAAAAAGGAAAAAUAUAUAUAUAAGUGAAAAAAAAAAUAAAAGAGAAAAAAAAAAAACAAAACAAAAAACAAAAAAAAAAAAACAACAGAAAAAAUGAGAUAGAAAGAAAAUAACUGAAAAAAGGCACAAAACUUUUAA